Salvia miltiorrhiza (redroot sage) is the source of this 1095-nucleotide long non-coding RNA. RefSeq lists it as uncharacterized. The record is from RefSeq and is a predicted model, not a curated record. NCBI's taxonomy places the organism in Eukaryota, Viridiplantae, Streptophyta, Magnoliopsida, Lamiales, Lamiaceae. The transcript is spliced from 3 exons.
UUAGGUUUGCGACGACCCUUUGUUAUUUCUAAUAGAGUUUGCUAUUUCACUUUUGCAGGAGAAGUCAAGGCCAAAAUAGAAAAGGUAUAAUAUAAUCUGUUCUGCACUUUUGGUGUCUGCAUGUGUAGCCAAUUAUAUUGUUCAAUGAGGCAUUAUGUGAUAAGUAUUGCAUGUUAGAGAUUCUUAUAGUUUCUCAGUUGUCUCUGUAUGCAUUAGAACUUCUUGAUGUUAGUACUGAGCAAUAUAUUUCACUAGAAUGCGAGUUCUUUUAGAAUCUAUGGGGUUUAUUUAACAGUUAAUCAUGACAGAAGCCCAAAUCUUGCGUUAUUCCUGCUGUUGAGGUUGAACAUCCUGGAUGUUCAUUCAAUCCUCAUCCUGAGAGCCAUCAGGAUACCUUAGCUCGUGCUGUUGCAGAUGAAAUGCAGAAAAUUUACCAACAUGAAUUGGGGCCUCAGCCCAUCCCUUUAGUUGUCCCUGGUGAAGCUAUUGAUGAAUAUGUUCGUACUUCAUCCCGAACUGGUCACUUGAAGUGGAAAUGAAUAUUGUCCCUCCAUAUUCAUGUGCUUUCACUUAUUUGCAUAUGAAGUUUUCAUGCACUUCCCUCUUAUAUGCGUCAGAAAUAUUUCCUUGAGGCAGAUGCGGAUGAUGGAACUGAUGAUGAUGAUGAUGAACAAAAUGAAAAUCAGGCUGAUGAUGGAGAUGUGGAUACAGAAAAGAGCUCUUAGAAAACCAAAAGGGUGACUCGGGUAUAAUUUAACCGGAGAGCUAGACGAAAGGAGCAGUUGAGAAUUGAAGCAGAAGCGAAAAAAGUGAAGGGACUUUCAAAAGACAUAGAUGCUCAUCAACCCAUUGUGAAAUCGAGGAUUGCAAAAAAGCUGCAGGGUAAAAGGACGCAGAUGCUCAUCAACCCAUGGAGCAUAGGAUGUAAACAAUAGGACUUGUUUCCUUCUUUCAUUUUCUUUCUUUUUAGGAAGACACUUCGAAUUAUAUGUUUAUCAAUGUAUCUAUCAUUGUAUGCGAUACAUGAAAAGAUUGUAUUUCAUAAUUCAUUAUAUUUGAUUCAUAUAAUGUAUGAUAUGCUAUUUUAUAUUUUUA